RNAcentral lists this ribosomal RNA (371 nucleotides) under uncultured fungus. RNAcentral describes it as "bacterial SSU rRNA". It matches the Rfam family "Eukaryotic small subunit ribosomal RNA", at positions 1447 to 1821 of the family's 1831-position model. Lineage: Eukaryota; Fungi. The record is from RNAcentral.
GAGGCAAUAACAGGUCUGUGAUGCCCUUAGAUGUCCUUGGCUGCACGCGCGCUACACUGCCUGGUGCAACGAGUUGUUUAUCUUACUGGUCUGAAAAGAUUGGUUAAUCUUUUGAAAACUUGGCGUGAUGGGGAUUGAUCAUUGAAAUUAUUGGUCAUGAACGAGGAAUUCCUAGUAAUUGCAAGUCAUCAACUUGCGAUGACUACGUCCCUGCUCUUUGUACACACCGCCCGUCGCUCCUACCGAUUGAAUGAUUAGAUGAAAUCCACGGAUUGGGUGUAUUCUUCGGAGUGCAUUUGAAAAGUCGAGUUAAUCUAAUCAUUUAGAGGAAGGAGAAGUCGUAACAAGGUUUCCGUAGGUGAACCUGCGGA